RNA transcript from Vollenhovia emeryi, 1405 nucleotides. It is a transcript of the gene named RNA-binding protein 42, with no coding region annotated. The transcript has 6 exons. The record is from RefSeq and is a predicted model, not a curated record. Lineage: Eukaryota; Metazoa; Arthropoda; Insecta; Hymenoptera; Formicidae.
AGAGUGUGCCAUCUUAUUACUGAGAACCGAGAUACUCUCGUUGCUCUCGUUGCUCUCGUUCGACUAGGUUAAGUGACUCGAAAGUAAUUAUCAUUCGAGGAUAUCUCUUUUCCCGGAGGAAAUAGAAAUCCAGGUAGUAAUAAUAUAAUAGCGUUUCCGUCAACGUUGACGACGACGACUAGAUUGCAAAUAUGGAGGACAAAUUACGGCAAAUGGAAGAUGAGAUGAACAGAUUUGAAGCUGAGAUCGGAGGGCAGCUCGUGGCGCCGAUUGUAAGACCGGUGAUCGGCGCGAACACGUACAAUCAGGUCGCUAGACAAUUGGAGCAACACGAGCACACGCCAGUAGUCGCGGCCGCUGCGGCAGCGACCCUGGCCUUUCCUCCGAUGAUCGGCUUCCCACCACCGCCACCGCCUCCGCCUCCUCCUCCACCGCCGCCGAUGUUGAUUCCUCAACAAGUGGCUCGACAAGGUACGGUCCCUAUUACGACAUACUCCUCGCCCGCGCAAAUAAGUAAUCCGUACAUGUCGAAUAUGGUGGACCCGUGUUUAAGCGCAACACCAAAAACCUACGAUUCUUCCUCGACGCCGAUGAUUCAUCCGGAGAUUAUCGAACAAAUUAUUAACACAAAGAUCCCCGAAGACGAGGGUAAGAAAAAGCCAAAGGUUAAAGGGGUCAGUACGGCGGCUGAAUUGGCCAUCAGCCAAGGAAAAGCGAGCUCCAUUAUGGCUAACGCCAGUGCCGAGGAGAGCCAUCCUAAGGGCAAAGGAAAGAAGAAUAAGAAGAUUAUAAGGACGGCCGGUGGCCAAACGUGGGAAGACCCUUCUUUGUUAGAGUGGGACGAAGAUGAUUUCAGGAUAUUCUGCGGAGAUCUAGGCAACGACGUCACCGACGAGAUGCUGGUGCGGGUAUUUGGCAAGUAUCCUAGUUUUCAAAGAGCUAAGGUCGUCAGAGAUAAACGGACUAAUAAAACCAAAGGCUUUGGAUUUGUGUCCUUUAAAGAUCCGCAAGACUUUAUCAAGGCAAUGAAGGAAAUGAAUGGUGAAUUUCCAACACUCCUGAAAAAAUGGAUGACAAACGCAUCGUCGAGGAACGCCCCCGUGUCAACGUUUUAGCGGUGCGUAUCGUGACAUCGUCCGUAUAGGAAAUUGGAAUUGGUUUCGAAGCGAAUGUUUACGGGUAGAAGUAACGCCAAGGAACGCGUUCAACGUGCAAGCGAGUCCUUUGCUAUCCCCGCGCUCGACGCACCAUAAAGUUCAUAGACCCGUUUGUUACUCGGCGAACAUUAAUCAUCGCCACAAUGGUGACUUUGUCGACAGGCGGCUACCACGCUACCCGUGUAUACACACACACACACAUGCGCGCACAUCCGUGUGACAACAAGUUAAACGAGCCUGUGGAGGAG